AAUCUGUAGUUCUUUACAAGAAGUGUUCAUGUCUCCCCAGUGGCCUCAUUACAAAUAAAAUAUUGAAAUUUCUGCCAAUUCAUUGUCAAAAUUCACUUACACGAACGGUCAAUAGCUUCAACAACAAAUCAUACUGGGGGGGACUACCAAAGAACUCACUUGGAAAAUGAUCCCAAUCUUUAAACCAGCUUGCCAUCUAUACCAGCACAUAUCUCAAGCAGGAGAACAUGCAACUGGACACCGCAUGUCACACUAUUUGACCAAUCUCAGCACAUCACCCACAAGAUGUAAUGAGCCAGUAAC
RNAcentral lists this unclassified non-coding RNA (303 nucleotides) under Hevea brasiliensis (rubber tree). Lineage: Eukaryota; Viridiplantae; Streptophyta; Magnoliopsida; Malpighiales; Euphorbiaceae. The record is from RNAcentral.